RNAcentral lists this long non-coding RNA (770 nucleotides) under Anas platyrhynchos platyrhynchos (common mallard). Its description in RNAcentral is "lncRNA (ENSAPLG00000018640.1)". Lineage: Eukaryota; Metazoa; Chordata; Aves; Anseriformes; Anatidae. The record is from RNAcentral.
GUUUGAAGUUUCUGUCCUGGGACAGAUUAAAAAUGAUAUGUAUAUAUACAUAUAUUAUUGCUAUCAAAAAUUCUUUAUGUUAAGCUAAAAUUAUAUCAGCAAACAUCAGGUUCAUUUAGUAGCAAUGAGGAAGAUUCACUGAGAUGAGCUCCUGUAUAUUUCAGCUAAGUAUUUUCUUCUAUGCUUUAUUUUCAGAUUUGGAACAGCAACUUCAGGCUCUACCUGCAGUAGCAAUACAAAAUAUUCAAGUAUAUAAAUUGUUUGCUAUAUUUUUAUUAGCUGUUGUACCAGCCAACCUUCUUUCCUGAUGGUAGUCUUGUAUUCCCCGUAGCUGGCUUUGAAGAUGGAAGAAACACAGCUGUUACCGUUGCUGCAGUUAGCUCAAAGCUGUGGGGUCCUGGGCGUUGAUGACAUAUCCUAGACCAGAUUGUAGCAGCAACAAUCAAGAACUAGAGCAGUCCCCUUUGACUGUUUCAGCACACUUUGGAUCAGGGACACAGAGGAAAAAGUUAUUUUUAACAGCUAUUUCACUCAGGAGGAUUGACAAUGCAGUGGACACCUGCUGUGACCAAAGAAACCUUCAGUGAAAUGGGAGAUUGAAUUUAAUACAAAAAUGCAGCAUGGAUGAUCCAUCUCACAACAGUUCUUCAGGAGUACUGUUGAGUGGUCUCAGCAAUAGCUCGUAGAUUAUACACCAAAGAAGGGGAAGAACAAAGGAUGCUGUCUGUCCUAAAGAGAUAAUAAAAUAAAGAUGGACAGAAAAAGAAUCA